RNAcentral lists this transfer RNA (19 nucleotides) under Dichaea ecuadorensis. Its description in RNAcentral is "partial tRNA-Leu". Lineage: Eukaryota; Viridiplantae; Streptophyta; Magnoliopsida; Asparagales; Orchidaceae. The record is from RNAcentral.
AAAUCCGUCGAAUUUUGAA